This is a long non-coding RNA of Brassica napus (rape), 1237 nucleotides long. RefSeq lists it as uncharacterized. The transcript is spliced from 2 exons. NCBI's taxonomy places the organism in Eukaryota, Viridiplantae, Streptophyta, Magnoliopsida, Brassicales, Brassicaceae. The record is from RefSeq and is a predicted model, not a curated record.
UUUUUUAAUAGAUUGAAUGAUUGAUAGAUUUGGAGAUAACAUUUCAAAAAUAAAUAAACAUUAAUUUGGCUAUUGUUUUGAAAUUUCGAAUGUAACUUUUUUUUAGAGAAUUUAGGCUUCCUAUACACCAAAAUGGUUGAAAUUAGCAAAAUAGCCGAUCUCUAUUUCCGCUACCGUGCACUUUCUUUUAAUACGAUAAUAACCCUACCUCUAAAUUUGUCUACAUAAUCCUAGCUUAGAUUUACUGUCAGAGAUAUUAUCACACAUCUCAUACACAACUAUCAUUAAUUAUCCAACCAUUUCACUAUGAACUCAUCUUUCUUAGACACACCUACCUAUGAGCUCAUCUCUCUCUUCUUAUAAUAUUUUCACUUCCGAUUGCAACGACCUUCAUCAAGAAAUGACUCAUAAUCUGAGAUUUCUACAUCAUUAAUUUCAUAAUCGAUUUGAAAGAUUUACGCAGUUUGUUUAGCAUAUAUAUGUAUUUAUGAAACCAAAUUUAUGUUUACUCAAUCAAAUUGCUUUUGUUUGUAGAUGGAAGAGAUGCAGCGUUUUGACCGCAUGUUCACAACAGGUGAAGAACCCAUAGGUGAUAGAAUAAACACAUAUCACAAAUCCAGAAGAAUCAAAACUAUUCUUGAAGCGUUUGAACCCAUAUGUGGAAGAAUCCAUCAAAUCCAAUUAUAUGUAGAAGUCCGUGAGUUUGAUCUGGAAUGUCAGCUUUUCACUUAACCCCAUUAUGUGUUAGGCUGAGGUUUAUUUCCAGAUGAUGCAACGCCAAGUGAAGCCGAUUUUGGAUGGGAUAAUGAGGUCAAGGACGACGUCGACAGCAUGGUUCACCUUAGCGAGGAAAGACUUAUCUUCGAGAAAGCGAUGUUUGUGUGUGUGGGGGGGGGGGGGGGGGGGGGGGGGGCUCACAGCAGUUGAUCUGAAAAGAAGGAAAGAGACUGCCAACUUAUACUGACGCAUCCUAUGCACUCACCAUCUGGCCAACCUUGUGGCUGGCCUUGUGAAUCAGAAAGUUGACAAUUUUGUUAACUACGAACACAUAUUUUACUGGCAUUCUUUAAUAUUCAUUAUUUUCUAAUCUACACAGUUAUUUGUGUUAGUAACACUAUGAUGAUGUUAGUCGCUAGUACCAAAUGUUUUUAUUUCAGCUAAGUUUACUAGUAACUGCUAUAGACACUUUUAUAUAUGACAUUAUUAUUGUUAACUGCUAAUAAAUAUCUUACAAAUA